This 253-nucleotide ribosomal RNA is filed under the name uncultured bacterium. RNAcentral's name for it is "partial 16S ribosomal RNA". It matches the Rfam family "Bacterial small subunit ribosomal RNA", at positions 524 to 776 of the family's 1533-position model. The record is from RNAcentral.
UACGUAGGUGGCAAGCGUUGUCCGGAAUUAUUGGGCGUAAAGCGCGCGCAGGCGGUCCCUUAAGUCUGAUGUGAAAGCCCACGGCUCAACCGUGGAGGGUCAUUGGAAACUGGGGGACUUGAGUGCAGAAGAGGAAAGUGGAAUUCCAUGUGUAGCGGUGAAAUGCGUAGAGAUGUGGAGGAACACCAGUGGCGAAGGCGACUUUCUGGUCUGUAACUGACGCUCAUGCACGAAAGCGUGGGGAGCAAACAGG